Molecule: ribosomal RNA, 381 nt
Filed under: uncultured eukaryote
Lineage: Eukaryota
Description: partial 18S ribosomal RNA
Rfam family: Eukaryotic small subunit ribosomal RNA
Source: RNAcentral
CAAUAGCGUAUAUUAAAGUUGUUGCGGUAAAAAAGCUCGUAGUUGGAUUUCUACCGAAGAUAGCCGGUCGGGUCUUCGACCUUGUAUCUGGUUUUGUCUUUGGUAUCCUCAUAGGGAACGUUUCUGCGCUUUAUUGCGUGGUGCGGUAUCUAUGACUUUUACUUUGAGGAAAUUAGAGUGUUCACGGCAGGCAAACGCCUUGAAUAUAUUAGCAUGGAAUAAUAACAUAGGAUCUUCGUCCUAUUUUGUUGGUUUCUAGGGCUAAGAUAAUGAUUAAUAGGGAUAAUUGGGGGCAUCUGUAUCAACGCGUCAGAGGUGGAAUUCUUGGAUUGCGUUGCGACAAACUACCGCGAAAGCAUUUGCCAAGGAUGUUUUCAUUGA